AGAACUUGUGCGCUGCUCGCGAACAUAGCGUGGAGGUCCUCGCGGCGAUUCUAUUGCAAGUCCGUUCCAUUACUUGAGUCUAUUCGAGCUGACUUUUUGAAAGUUUGGACGGCGACGGGUCGUUCGCCAAAGGCUUCAAGAUGAUCAACAAACUGACAGUGAUUCGCUUUCUUUUGUUUAGUGUUCUUCUGCAACAAGUGCAGUGUGAGUGUAAGAAAAACUGGCGCGCCUACAAAAACAACUGUUACUACUUCUCCCAAUACGCCCGGAAUUUUAAGAAGGCUGAACGCCACUGUUUGUCACUUGAAAGCAACCUGACCAGCAUUCAAGACACCGAUGAGAGGGACUGGCUGAUCAAAACUCUGGACAAAAGCAAGGUCCCAUCUUUAACCUAUAUACAUAUAUUAUACACAUAUAUGGUAGCUUUAGAGAUUGAUCUAUAACAUGUCUUUUUUUGUAGUUCCCAUGGAGCACCUGGAUGGGCCUGAAGUACAAAUCAGGAGGCUGGAAGUGGACUGAUGGAAGUCGUUUCAACAGAUCCGUGGCGUUCUGGGGGGAGGAUCAGCCCUCAAUGUAUUUGUCUGUGACAACUAGCCGAUGUGCUUCCAUGUUGAGCCGCGAUGAUGGGCGCUGGUACAACUAUAACUGCAUCUUCACCGACAUGCCAUACAUCUGCAAACGUUUCAUGGAACCCCAGUUGUUUGUGGCGCCAAAUGGCUUUGGAGCUUUGGACAAAACAGAGAAACUGGCACUGGAGGUCGUCACCAAUAUGGUCAUUUCGGGAAAGGUCGUGCCCAAAACAGCGCUCAACAUAACUCUGAUCAAUGGACUGUCCUGUUCAUCUCGUGGUGUCAACUGCUCACGCGCACUGGACAUUAAAGAUUACAAGGCUAGGAAGGUACGUCUCAUUUUUG
Long non-coding RNA from Syngnathus acus (greater pipefish), 914 nucleotides. RefSeq lists it as uncharacterized. The record is from RefSeq and is a predicted model, not a curated record. The transcript has 6 exons. Lineage: Eukaryota; Metazoa; Chordata; Actinopteri; Syngnathiformes; Syngnathidae.